UACGUAGGGGGCGAGCGUUGUCCGGAAUUAUUGGGCGUAAAGCGCGCGCAGGCGGCUUCUUAAGUCUGAUGUGAAAGCCCACGGCUCAACCGUGGAGGGUCAUUGGAAACUGGGAGGCUUGAGUGUAGGAGAGGAAAGUGGAAUUCCACGUGUAGCGGUGAAAUGCGUAGAGAUGUGGAGGAACACCAGUGGCGAAGGCGACUUUCUGGCCUAUAACUGACGCUGAGGCGCGAAAGCGUGGGGAGCAAACAGG
This 253-nucleotide ribosomal RNA is filed under the name uncultured bacterium. Its description in RNAcentral is "partial 16S ribosomal RNA". It matches the Rfam family "Bacterial small subunit ribosomal RNA", at positions 524 to 776 of the family's 1533-position model. The record is from RNAcentral.